Prolemur simus (greater bamboo lemur) is the source of this 117-nucleotide ribosomal RNA. The record is from Ensembl. NCBI's taxonomy places the organism in Eukaryota, Metazoa, Chordata, Mammalia, Primates, Lemuridae.
UUCUAUUACACCACCCUGAACACGCCUUAUCUAUGUCUGAUCUCCAAAACUAAGCAGCAUCAGCCCUGGUUAGUACUUGGGUGGAAGACCACCUGGGAAUACCGAGUGCUAUAGGCU